CGAAAGCCUGACGGAGCAAGACCGCGUGCGGGAGGAAGGUCUAUUGACUGUAAACCGCUUUUGAUAGGGAAGAAGAUCUGACGGUACCUAUCGAAUCAGCAUCGGCUAACUCCGUGCCAGCAGCCGCGGUAAUACGGGGGAUGCAAGCGUUAUCCGGAAUUAUUGGGCGUAAAGCGUCCGUAGGUGGUUUUAUAAGUCUGUUGUCAAAGCGCGAGGCUUAACCUCGUACAGGCAGUGGAAACUAUAAGACUAGAGUGCGGUAGGGGUAGAGGGAAUUUCCAGUGUAGCGGUGAAAUGCGUAGAUAUUGGGAAGAACACCAGUGGCGAAGGCGCUCUACUGGGCCGUAACUGACGCUGAGGGACGAAAGCUAGGGGAGCG
RNAcentral lists this ribosomal RNA (379 nucleotides) under uncultured cyanobacterium. Its description in RNAcentral is "bacterial SSU rRNA". It matches the Rfam family "Bacterial small subunit ribosomal RNA", at positions 376 to 770 of the family's 1533-position model. The record is from RNAcentral. Lineage: Bacteria; Bacillati; Cyanobacteriota.